RNAcentral lists this ribosomal RNA (703 nucleotides) under uncultured archaeon. RNAcentral describes it as "bacterial SSU rRNA". It matches the Rfam family "Archaeal small subunit ribosomal RNA", at positions 1 to 686 of the family's 1478-position model. The record is from RNAcentral.
UCCGGUUGAUCCUGCCAGAGGCCGCUGCUAUCCGGCUGGGAACUAAGCCAUGCGAGUCAAGGGGCUUGUAUCCCUUCGGGGAUACAAGCACCGGCGGACGGCUCAGUAACACGUGGACAACCUGCCCUCGGGAGGGGGAUAACCCCGGGAAACUGGGGCUAAACCCCCAUAGGGGAUGGGUACUGGAAUGUCCCAUCUCCGAAAGUCCGCUUUGCGGAGCCCGAGGAUGGGUCUGCGGCGGAUUAGGUAGUUGGCGGGGUAACGGCCCGCCAAGCCGAAGAUCCGUACGGGCUGUGGGAGCAGGAGCCCGGAGAUGGACCCUGAGACACGGGUCCAGGCCCUACGGGGCGCAGCAGGCGUGAAACCUCCGCAAUGCGGGAAACCGCGACGGGGUCAGCCGGAGUGCUCGCGCAUCGCGCGGGCUGUCGGGGUGCCUAAAAAGCACCCCACAGCAAGGGCCGGGCAAGGCCGGUGGCAGCCGCCGCGGUAAUACCGGCGGCCCGAGUGGCGGCCACUUUUAUUGGGCCUAAAGCGUCCGUAGCCGGGCUGGUAAGUCCUCCGGGAAAUCUGGUCGCUCAACGAUCAGACUUCCGGAGGAUACUGCCAGCCUAGGGACCGGGAGAGGCCGGGGGUAUUCCCGGGGUAGGGGUGAAAUCCUGUAAUCCCGGGAGGACCACCUGUGGCGAAGGCGCCCGGCUGGAAC